Molecule: long non-coding RNA, 5093 nt
Filed under: Salmo salar (Atlantic salmon)
Lineage: Eukaryota; Metazoa; Chordata; Actinopteri; Salmoniformes; Salmonidae
Description: lncRNA (ENSSSAG00000108864.1)
Source: RNAcentral
AAAUAAGCCAGCAGGAAACAAUAUUUCUGUGUGUGUCAGAGAAGCAGGGGUGAGCUGUGAUGUGUUCGCUGUUGAAGUUUUGACAUCAUUUGCAUCUCUUUCAUGACUGGCAUGUUUACUAGUGUAGAUAGUGUAGCCUGGAUGCCUGGGUGCAACCCGAUCCUGUGGUGUUUGCUUGAGCCUCAUGUUGCAGUGGAUUUUCAGGUUGACUGACGGUCGGUGUUGUGUGGUUCUGAUCUUCAGAGAGACACCAGGAUGGCAACUGAAGGGGCCACAGAGAAGAGAGCCAACUUGGUGGCAUCUAAAGUCAUGUGGAGUAACAGGGAUGACGUACCUAUGUCAGCACCAGAACGGUCACAUGGCAGUGACAGAGCUGGAAUCUGUAGACAGAACAACGUCCAACAGUGGCUUAGAAGUCAUGAGGCGGAUGCAAAACCAGACCACACCAGAGAAGCUGCAGCAGGGCUUCUUAAGAGGAACGCCAGCAGUGAGGAUGACUUAGCGUUGGGCGUCGAAGCGUCUUUAUAUGGUAAACAGGGAGUGAGGACCGUCCAGGAAUUUCUGAGGAGUUCCAGGUCCAGCCCAGUUCUCACCAGGUGGAACAGCUUGACCUCAGCCUUCUCAGCACAGUCAGCUCCACUCAGUGUAAUGGAUGUGCUGAAUCUGUGGAGUGACGACCCAGAGGAGGUCCUACUAGAUCUGGGCUUCGGCUGUGACGAGCCUGACAUCUCUGGACGGAUCCCUGCCCGCUUCAUCAACAACCAGUCCAGCGCCCGGGGAAUCAACAUCCAGGUGUUCCUGGACGCCCAGAAGAACCGCAUGGACAUAGAGAACCCUGAUGUCAGCAAUAGGUUCAGGCAGUUGGAGGUGCUGCAGCAGGUUACCACUGCAUUCUCAUCCCUGGUCGGUGGUGCGUCUACAGACUCCGUCUCCGAGAGCGGAGUUCCAGCUUUAGCUUCAGCCGGGGCCAGGGAGAAGAGGAAGAGAAUGGGCAUGCUGCUCCGCCGGGUCUCCAGAAAAACCCUCAGCCAAACCCAGUUUCAGACACAAAACCAGACCCAGGACUCCCAGGACACAAACCCCACUCCCCACAGUCCUGUAACCCACUUACCGCAGCCCCUGGCUGGCCUCCCUGACAGGCGGACCCCGCUGAAACGAGCCAGACAGGGCCUGGCUGAGAGUAUAUGUCUGACCCCGCUGGCAGAGGAGCAAGGCCUAGCCUCGGAAGCACCAGAGCCCCACUCGGUCCACCAGGAGGGUGCACUCUGGCUGGAGGUGGGGAAGGAGUAUCAACCCCUGAUCUCCAGUGGUAUUCCAACCAGAAAGAAAAGUCCUGGGGAGGCCAGGGAGUCCUUUGAGAUGGAGGAGAUCCAGAGCUUUGAUGAGGGCAGUAUUUCUGGGAGCUACAUGGGAGCAUCCGACACCACAGGAUGGUCCUCCCCUUCAUCCUCUGAGGAGCCUCCACUGCUAACAGAAUAAGCAAAUUGUGUCCUAACUUUUAGUUGAUUCACCAGGCAAAGGUAAAGUUCUGUUUAUUGCCCUGAGUCAUAGUUCUCCUUUAUACUCCAGAUGAGUCUGAUUGAAGGAUAUGAUUAAAGUGAUGUAAUUUUCCAUGAACUUUCUUUCUCUCCCCCUCUCCCCUCCCUCUACUCUCUUCCCCCUUCCCUAUGUAGCAGUGUGUGUGAUGAGGACUAACAGCUGCCAGUCUGACAGCAGUGGCUUCCUGGAAGAGCCCUUCAUCCCUUCCAUUACCCAGCAUCCCUCACCUGGACCCGAGCUCAUGAAGGCUUUGUCGGGAAUAUUUGGAGGCAGCACUGACAGCCAGAUCACUGUAAAAGGAGCUUCACCCCCCUCGUCCCCCCCAUCCACUUCCCUGGACCCUUCCCCUCCUUCCCUCUCCAUGUGCCACCCAAGACCCGAGUCUCCUCUAUACAGACCAGAGACAACAAGCCCUACAGAGGAGACACCCAGACACCAGGAUUCCCCCACACCCCACUCCCUCUCUGAUGCCUUGGAGAUGACUAACUCUGCUUUUGGAGCCAGGCCAAGCCUAAUGGAAAACACUGUCACUGAGGAAGAUGGAUUCUCUUCGGCCUGCGGUUCACCUUGUCAUAAGCCAGACUCUCCGUUACGGCACGUUAUUAUUAUCAUGAAAACAGAUAGAGAAACAGAACACUUUACUGUGGAAUCAGAGGAAGCUGUUCCAAUAGGAGGAGAGGAAAAGGACAUAGCGGAACAAAGUGGCAAUGUUCAGACAGGAACAGAGGCUGUUGGUGAUCAGGACACCGAUUGUUAUGGGUCACAUGAAGGCUCUCGGAUGAACUCGGUAGCUCUGGUGCAGAUGAAGAAAGAGACAGAGAUGAAGACGAAAGUACAGAUUAGUUCUGGUUUGGAAGGUCCAGUGUUGGGUCCUGUUGCUGUUCCUGAGGUGGUGAAUCAAGGCUCUGAGACUGGAUCUGUUUGUCAGGACCGGUACUCUGAAGAUCCUCUAUUAGGAUCUGACCCUAACUUCUCAGCAGAGCCUCUCCCUGCCUCCUCUCUCCCCCCAGCAGAGCCUCUCCCUGCCUCCUCUCUCCCCCCAGCAGAGCCUCUCUCUGCCUCCCUCCCCCCAGUGCACUGGGAAACAGGUGGCUCAAAGAUUUCAGAGGGAUCCUCAAGCUUGGUUGUCCAAGAGCCUGUCCCACCACUAUAUCAACCAGCAGACCCAUCGACAGACCCACCUCCAGGCCCAGCUUUAACCUCACCUUCAGAGCAAGUGUCACCUCCAUCCCCACCACCAUCUCCAUCCCCAGCCUCGUGGCCACACCAACCUCCAGCCUCAGCUUUUCCGGCAGCAUCCAGCUCAUCUCCAACCCAAGCCCAUUCCCCAAUCCCAAACCAUUCUCUAUCAGCCCUAACCACAACACCAACCCCAUCCUCAAUUCCAAACUCGCCAUCAGCCCAUUCCUUAACCGUAGCUCCAUCUCAAGCCCCAACUCCACUCGUCCCCCACAGUGGUGCUUUCAGGUCAGGCCGGUCUGUGUCUGUCCAGAUGCCCUCCUCCCUGCCCUCUGUCUCCCACUCUGCCCUCCGGAGAGGUGGCGUCCCCCACACCCCCUCCCCGCUCGGCCCUUCCUUCGAGCCCCGCCCCCUGACUGACCUGACGCUCCGGCAGAGGCGGAACUCCUUCUCCAGGAAGGCGUGGUCAGAUGCUGAUGUCUCCCACUUUGCAGAACACAGAAACACUGCGGUUGCCAUGGGAAAGGCAGUCAUGACACCUGAGAUGAUAUCCCUCCUGUCCCCCGUCCCCUCCCUGUCAUCGUCCAAUCGGUGGCUGUCUCGCGACGGUUCACGAAGAUCCGGAAGUUUCCAGAUGAAGUCCACCUCCUUGGACACGGGGCUGUGGCAGGAGGAAGAGGGGGAUGAAGUGGGGGAUGAGGAUAGACGGUGGGAACGAGCCCUGUUCUCUGGGCUUUCCUGCUGCUGCUCCUGUGAUAACCGCUGUAGCUGCUGUUCUCAGAACAAUCACCUCAAACCAUCCUCCGUUUCAGCUUUCCCUUAUUCCCUGGAUGAGCUGGAGGGGAUGAUGCACUGUAUGAGGAAGUUCCGCUGCGUCCUGACAGACAUCGAGGAACAGCUGUCAGAAGACCAGGCCUCGGUGUACAGCUCACUCUCUGACACUGACAGAGAUGAAGUGCGAGACAUCUUGGAGCUGAGGAAAGCUGUGAAACAGGAAGCAGGAGAGUUGGAACUGCAGCUCACUGACCUGGUUCAUCGCUAUGACGACAGCUUCAAAAUGAAGAUGCACAGACUACUCGAUGAACAAUCUCACCUCUACACCCAGCUAAGGCUCCUCCCCCUGAUCCCCAAGACCACCCCUGGCUCCGCCUCCUCUAGGAGCAUGGCCACUCAGUGCUGCCUGCUGCCCUGGCUGCCUUUGACGGACAUGUCCAGGCCACACCCCUCACCGCAGGCCACCUGGGAUUUGGAGUCCAGAUCAGCUCUGCCAGAUUCCAGUUCUAUGGGCCAGAGACUAAACCAUGGUUCUACCGGCACCAAGCCAGACAAACUGGACAUUGUGGGUUUCAUCCAGAGACUGAAGGAGUCCAUACGCCACUCUGUCAAUACUGACUCACUGGAGUAAAAGAGAGAUGCUGCUUCUGCUGUAGCUAACUGAAAAUGAUCUGCUGUCUAAGUUAUAGUGUGUCCAAUCAACCUGGACUCGGGUAGAUGUAACAUAAUAAACGUAAAUCUGUCUCCCUCCAGUUAGUAUGAUAUGUUAGGUGUGGUAAGGUAUGUAUUUCUUUGUGGAUGUCCAUCAUCCAUUUCUUAUGUUAUAAAUAACAAUUCAUAUGAUAUGUUACGAAUUGCAAUUUGUACAAUAUGUUACGAAUUUGCGAUUAAGUAUGAUAUGUCACAAAUUCCAGUUUGAUGUGGCUAACCCUAACAUUAAAGUAGCUAACGUUAACUAGGCUAAGGGUUAGCUAACAUGCUAAGUAGGUGCAAAAAGUAGUACGUUUCAAAAUAGCUAAUUAGCCUAAAUGCUCAAGUUGUCCGUGAUGAGAUCGGAAGACGCAACCUUAGAGGUGCUAGAAGUUUGCAUUAUAUGCCCACCUAUCCACCCCGACCCACCACCCUCCUUUUGUUUUUGCCUUAUGUAACCUUACCAAACAUACCAUAUCAUAUUCAUUUGAGUGUCCUGGAUUUACGUUGACUAUGUCUAGUCUAUGAAACCAGGCUGGUGUAAUCAAUGGAUUCUAUUACUACUAAAGUAGUCCAGUGUCCACAUAAUGAAUAAAGAGCACGAAUGCAUGAAAUCAUGUGUGCUUGUUCUAUAACGUGCCGAUCCAAUGCAUAACAUACUGUCCAAAGAGUUUAUUUGUGUGUAUUGUCAUUCCCUACGUAUCAACAACAGCAUUCGUCUCAACUAAGGAUGUGUUCUUAUUGUAACAUGAAGUCUCCUACUGUUACCUACCUGCAUCAAUGCUCUGGGUAAGACAGUUCCCCAUCCACAUGAGAUCCAUGCAGUAUGUGUAUGCUAUAGAGAGGAGCUCCUAUGUGUCACCCUCCUGUUCUGGGUUAUGUCCUUAUUAGCACAAGAGGUGGUCUUGCUC